Molecule: ribosomal RNA, 253 nt
Filed under: uncultured bacterium
Lineage: Bacteria
Also listed under: 1 other name
Description: partial 16S ribosomal RNA
Rfam family: Bacterial small subunit ribosomal RNA
Source: RNAcentral
UACGUAUGGUGCAAGCGUUAUCCGGAUUUACUGGGUGUAAAGGGAGCGCAGGCGGCGCGGCAAGUCCGAUGUGAAAACCCCCGGCUCAACCGGGGGACUGCAUUGGAAACUACCGGGCUGGAGUGCCGGAGAGGUAGGCGGAAUUCCUGGUGUAGCGGUGAAAUGCGUAGAUAUCAGGAGGAACACCAGUGGCGAAGGCGGCCUACUGGACGGUGACUGACGCUGAGGCUCGAAAGCGUGGGGAGCAAACAGG